This 352-nucleotide RNase P RNA is filed under the name Leptospira ilyithenensis. RNAcentral's name for it is "RNase P RNA component class A". It matches the Rfam family "Bacterial RNase P class A". Rfam says of the family: Ribonuclease P (RNase P) is a ubiquitous endoribonuclease, found in archaea, bacteria and eukarya as well as chloroplasts and mitochondria. Lineage: Bacteria; Pseudomonadati; Spirochaetota; Leptospiria; Leptospirales; Leptospiraceae. The record is from RNAcentral.
AGCCUUGGUCGAGUGAUCGCCUUUUAGAAAAACGGUAACGUUUCCUAAGGGGAGGAAAGUCCGGACACUAGGGGACAAUCGGACCGAGUAAUCCUCGGGGUGAAACGGGGAGACCUGUUUUAUACGGAAAGUGCAACAGAAAGCAAACCGCCGAAACUAUUUUAGUUGGUAAGGGUGAAAGGGUGGGGUAAGAGCCUACCGCUUGUUUUGUAAAAAACAAGGCAUGGUAAACCCUCCGAUGUGCAAUCUCAAGUAAACAACCGUUAUGAGCCUGUCCCGCCAGGUUGUGGGUAGAGAGCAUUAGAUAAAUGAUCACAUAGAACAGAAUCCGGCUUACGGGCCAAGGCUACUU